Molecule: long non-coding RNA, 839 nt
Filed under: Junco hyemalis (dark-eyed junco)
Lineage: Eukaryota; Metazoa; Chordata; Aves; Passeriformes; Passerellidae
Description: lncRNA (ENSJHYG00000001934.1)
Source: RNAcentral
UCCCAGUUUAUCCCAGUGCCCCCAGCCCCAUUCCCAGCCCAAACCAGUAUAAACCAGUAUAAACCAGUAUAAACCAGUAUAAACCAGUAGGUUCCCGUACGGUUCCGGUCCAGCCGCAGCAGCCGCAGGCGGGGGAGGGGCGAGGCCACGCCCACCUCGGUCACGUGGUUCCCGGAGAGAUCCAGCUCCUGCAAACUGGGACGUACUGGGACAGACUGGGACGUACUGGGAUGGACUGGGAGGGACUGGGAGGGACUGGGAUCAAACUGGGAGGGACUGGGAGGGACUGGGAGGGACUGGGAUGGACUGGGACAAACUGGGAUCAAACUGGGAUAUACUGGGAUGGACUGGGACAAACUGGGAUGGACUGGGAUGGACUGGGAUGAACUGGGAUCAAACUGGGAUGGACUGGGAUGGGACUGGUUUAUACUGGGAGGGACUGGGAUCAAACUGGGAUAUACUGGGAUGGACUGGGAGGGACUGGGAUCAAACUGGGAGGGACUGGGAUGGACUGGGACGGACUGGGACAAACUGGGACGGACUGGGAGGGACUGGGAUCAAACUGGGAUGGACUGGGAGUUACUGGGACAAACUGGGGUGCGUUACUGGUGUAACUGGGUUGGUUACUGGCCUGUACUGGCCUGUACUGGCCUGUACUGGUCUGUACUGGUCUAUACUGGUCUAUACUGGUUUGUACUGGUCCAUACUGGUUUCUCACCCGCAGCCUCCGCAGCGCCCCCAGCGCCGGCAGCGCCCGCAGUUCGUUCCCAGCCAGAUCCAAGCGGCUCAGGGCGCCCAUCCGCUCCACCAACGGCAGCGAGGUCAGGCCCUAAACCAGU